AGAGUUUGAUCCUGGCUCAGGAUGAACGCUAGCUACAGGCUUAACACAUGCAAGUCGAGGGGCAGCAUGGGGCAGCAAUGUCCCGAUGGCGACCGGCGCACGGGUGAGUAACGCGUAUCCAACCUGCCCAUGGCUCGGGCAUAGCCCGCCGAAAGGCGGAUUAACUCCCGAUGACGCUGUCAGAGAGCAUUCGGCGACAGCUAAAGUUCACGGCCAUGGAUGGGGAUGCGUCCGAUUAGCUUGUUGGCGGGGUAACGGCCCACCAAGGCGACGAUCGGUAGGGGUUCUGAGAGGAAGGUCCCCCACAUUGGAACUGAGACACGGUCCAAACUCCUACGGGAGGCAGCAGUGAGGAGUAUUGGUCAAUGGCCGGGAGGCUGAACCAGCCAAGUAGCGUGCAGGACGACGGCCCUACGGGUUGUAAACUGCUUUUGCGGGAGGAUAAAGUGCGUUACGUGUAAUGCAUUGCAGGUAUCCCGCGAAUAAGGACCGGCUAAUUCCGUGCCAGCAGCCGCGGUAAUACGGAAGGUCCGGGCGUUAUCCGGAUUUAUUGGGUUUAAAGGGAGCGUAGGCCGCCUGGUAAGCGUGCUGUGAAAUGCGACGGCUCAACCGUCGCCGUGCAGCGCGAACUGCUGGGCUUGAGUGCGCUGAAAGCGGGCGGAAUUUGUGGUGUAGCGGUGAAAUGCUCAGAUAUCACGAAGAACCCCGAUUGCGAAGGCAGCCCGCUGUGGCGUUACUGACGCUGAGGCUCGAAAGCGCGGGUAUCGAACAGGAUUAGAUACCCUGGUAGUCCGCGCGGUAAACGAUGGAUGCCCGCUGUUGGCUAUUCGUAGUCAGCGGCCAAGCGAAAGCGUUAAGCAUCCCACCUGGGGAGUACGCCGGCAACGGUGAAACUCAAAGGAAUUGACGGGGGCCCGCACAAGCGGAGGAACAUGUGGUUUAAUUCGAUGAUACGCGAGGAACCUUACCCGGGCUUGAAUUGCAGGAGAACGCGGUGGAGACACCAAGGCCCUUCGGGGUUCCUGUGAAGGUGCUGCAUGGUUGUCGUCAGCUCGUGCCGUGAGGUGUCGGCUUAAGUGCCAUAACGAGCGCAACCCCUCUGCGUAGUUGCCAUCGGGUGAUGCCGGGCACUCUGCGCACACUGCCGCCGCAAGGCGUGAGGAAGGUGGGGAUGACGUCAAAUCAGCACGGCCCUUACGUCUGGGGCUACACACGUGUUACAAUGGCGAGUACAGAGAGUCGGCCGGGCGCAAGCCCGGUCCAAUCAUCAAAGCUCGCCGUAGUUCGGACUGGGGUCUGCAACCCGACCCCACGAAGCUGGAUUCGCUAGUAAUCGCGCAUCAGCCAUGGCGCGGUGAAUACGUUCCCGGGCCUUGCACACACCGCCCGUCA
This 1392-nucleotide ribosomal RNA is filed under the name uncultured bacterium. RNAcentral describes it as "16S ribosomal RNA". It matches the Rfam family "Bacterial small subunit ribosomal RNA". The record is from RNAcentral.